GGAGGGAUGGCCGAGUGGCUUAAGGCGCACGCUUGGAAAGUGUGUAUACGGCAAAACCGUAUCGUGGGUUCGAAUCCCACUCCCUCCGCCA
This 91-nucleotide transfer RNA is filed under the name Alphaproteobacteria bacterium. Its description in RNAcentral is "tRNA-Ser". It matches the Rfam family "tRNA". From Rfam's summary of the family: Transfer RNA (tRNA) molecules are approximately 80 nucleotides in length. Their secondary structure includes four short double-helical elements and three loops (D, anti-codon, and T loops). Lineage: Bacteria; Pseudomonadati; Pseudomonadota; Alphaproteobacteria. The record is from RNAcentral.